GCCUGGUCGCCUCUCCUAGACUAGAUCGAAGGCUUCCCCGCCGCUCCUGGUGGUAACAUCUUGUUGGUUCUAAAUACAGUUGAUAAUAAGUACCGGUUUGUGGAAGAAAAGAUAAGAAAAUGGCAGUGGAGUGUCACAUGCCCCACCUUCCUUCCGUGCGUGGAACAGUGAACGUGGUCUUGCUGAUGUCUGUCUUGCUGCUGCCCCUGCUUUUGAUCAAGCACAUGACCAAGGCAUUGUUCUUACUGAGCACACACAGACUUUUCUGCUCUUACCAAAGCAAUGGCUUCAUCAGGAAAAAAAAAAGACUUAAUAUUUUCCCCCUGUCAUUUCUCACCAUGUGUUAAGUAACUUUGUCUUUGGAUUGGGUUAAAAUGUCUGGUGUUGGUUGGGGUUACUAACUUGAGUUUCACUUUAAAAUUUGAUGAAUACAUCUUGGCUUUGAUUUAUUAAAUAGGCCUAUACAC
Molecule: long non-coding RNA, 467 nt
Filed under: Rattus norvegicus (Norway rat)
Lineage: Eukaryota; Metazoa; Chordata; Mammalia; Rodentia; Muridae
Description: long non-coding RNA NONRATT016105
Source: RNAcentral